RNAcentral lists this ribosomal RNA (2870 nucleotides) under metagenome. Its description in RNAcentral is "bacterial LSU rRNA". It matches the Rfam family "Bacterial large subunit ribosomal RNA". The record is from RNAcentral.
AAAGCAGACAAUGGAUGCCUUGGCUGUUUAAGCCGAUGAAGGACGUUGCAAUCGACGAUAUCGUCGGGUAGGUGAUAAGCAACCUAUGAUCCGGCGGUUUCCGAAUGGGGAAACCUAACGCCUAGCGUUGCGUCUUUUUUAAAGACGAGGGAACCAUCCGAACUGAAACAUCUAAGUAGGAUGAGGAAAAGAGAACAAUUGUUAUUCCGUUAGUAGCGGUGAGCGAAAACGGAGGAGCCUAAACCUUCUUUUUGAAGGGGUUGUGGGGCAAGAAAUAUAGGAUUGUUAAAGAUAGAAGAAUAUCUUGGAAUAGAUAGCCAGAGAAAGUGAAAGCCUUGUAAUCGAAAUCUAAAACAACCUUAUCUUGUUCCCAAGUACCACGGAACACGUGUAAUUCUGUGGGAAGCUACCAGGGACCACCUGGUAAGGCUAAAUACUUAAACAGACCGAUAGUGAACUAGUACCGUGAGGGAAAGGUGAAAAGUCCCUGUAAUAGGGAGUGAAAUAGAACCUGAAAUUGUCUGCUAACAAGCAGUCAGAGUCAUAAUUUAUUAUGAUGAUGACGUGCCUAUUGAAGAAUGAACCGGUGAGUAUUCGUUUAAUUAUUAGUUUAAGCUAUUUUGUAGCGAAGGCGCAGGGAAACCGAGUCCUAACAGGGCGUUUUUAAAGUGAUUAAACGGAUGACCCGAAACCGAGCGAGCUAACCAUGAGCAGGGUGAAGUUCAUCGAAAGAUGAAUGGAGGCCCGCACCAGUGUCAGGUAAAAAUGGCUUGGAUGACUUGUGGUUAGGGGUAAUAUGCUAAUCGAGCUCGGAGAUAGCUGGUUCUCCCCGAAAUAUAUUUAGGUAUAGCGGUGUUGUUACAUUUUGAUGGGGUAGAGCACUGAAUGAUGGUAGGGCAGCAAUGUCUUGUCAUUAAUCAAACUCCGAAUACGUCAAAAUUUAUACACUAGUCAGUCUUGCCGGGCUAAGCUGGUAAGGCAAAAGGGAAACAACCCAGACUCUCAUUUAAGGUCUCUAAAUCUUACUUAAGUGUUUAAAGAAAGUGAAGUUCCUAAAACACCUAGGAGGUUGGCUUAGAAGCAGCCAUCCUUUAAAGAAAGCGUAACAGCUCACUGGACGAGGAAUUUUGCGUCGCAAAUCCAGGAGGCUAAAGUAAGUACCGAAAAUGGAGCUGCGUCUAAUUUCGAUUAGAUGUGGGGUAGGGGAGCGUCAAUAUUGCAGUGAAUCUGUUUCGUAAGGAACAGUGGAGCGGUAUUGAGUGAGAAUGCCGGUAUAAGUAGCGAAAUUCCAGUGAGAAUCUGGAACGCCGAAUGUCCAAGGUUUCCCACGUAAUGUUCGUCAGCGUGGGGUUAGUCGACCCUAACCCGAGGCCUCAUGGCGUAGGGGAUGGAUAGCAGGUUUAUAUUCCUGCACUUUAAUUAUUUCGUUAUCAAUCAGGGAGGGACGGGAUUUGAUAGGUAAGGUGUCUUAUUGAUUUGGCAUUGAAACAACAAAGCAGUUCUAAUAGGCAAAUCCGUUAGAACGACGUUGAGUUGAAUUAAAAGGUCAAAGGUAACGGCGACCGAUUUUACUGAUUUAAAUCUCCAAGAAAAGCUUCGUGAUGAGAAAUAAUUAAAACCGUACCGCAAACCGACACAGGUGGACUGGACGAGUAGUCUAAGGCGAGCGAGAGAAGAGAGUUUAAGGAACUCGGCAAAUUAGCUGGACGUAACUUCGGGAGAUGUCCUCCCUAUCUUUGAUAGGGCGCAGCGAAAGAUUGCUUACCGACUGUUUAUCUAAAACACAGGUCUCUGCAAAGGCGAAAGCCAAAGUAUAGGGGCUGAGGCCUGCCCAGUGCUGGAAGGUUAAGAGGACCUCCUUUAUGGAGAGAAUUGAAGCCCCAGUAAACGGCAGCAGUAACUAUAACUGUUCUACGGUAGCGAAAUUCCUUGUCGGGUAAGUUCCGACCCGCAUGAAAGGCUUAACGAGUAAGCAACUGUCUUGAACUCUUUCUCGGCGAAAUUGAAAUGGCUGUGAAGAUGCGGCCUAAUUACUGCAGGACAAAAAGACCCCGUGGAGCUUUACUACAACUUGGCACUGAAAAAUGUACGUGAAUUGUUUAGAAUAGGUGGGAGUUUUCGAACGUCAGUGAAAUACCACUCUUUUGUUUAUAUUUUUCUCACCAAAAUAUGCUGGAAACGCAUAUUGGGACAAUGUCUGGUGGGUAGUUUGACUGGGGCAGUCGCUUGCUCAAGAGUAAUGCAAGCGUACAAAGGUUAGCUUAGCGCGUAUGGAAAUCGCGCUGGACGUAUAAAGGCAUAAGCUAGCUUGACUGUGAGACUGACAGGUCGAGCAGGAACGAAAGUUGGUCUUAGUGAUCCUCGAAUCCGAAGUGGUUUCGGAUCGAGCUUAACGGAUAAAAGCUACCCCGGGGAUAACAGGUUAGUCGCGCCCGAGAGUUCAUAUCGACGGCGCGGUUCGACACCUCGAUGUCGGCUCAGCGUAUCCUGGGGCUGAAGAAGGUCCCAAGGGUUGGUCUGUUCGCCCAUUAAAACGCUACGUGAGCUGGGUUCAGAACGUCGUAAGACAGUUCGGUCUCUAUCCGCAGUAAUCGUUGAAUAUCUGAAGGAAUCUGACCACAGUACGAGAGGACCUGGUUGGAGGAAUCCCUAGUGUGCCAGUUGUUUCUAUCAAGAGCAGCGCUGGGUAGCUACAUUCCUUUAGGAUAACCGCUGAAAGCAUCUUAAGCGGGAAGCCUUACCUAAGAUUAGAUAUUCUUUCUCCUUUAUUGGAGAUGAAGAUCAGUUGUAGACCACAACUUUGAUAGGCUGGAAGUGUAAUUAGAGUAAUCUAUUUAGCUAACCAGUACUAACGAUCGAUAAAAUUAGCU